GCGAAUGGUGGAUGCCUUGACUGGUAAAGGCGAUGAAGGACGUACUAGACUGCGAUAAGCUACGGGGAGCUGUCAAGAAGCUUUGAUCCGUAGAUUUCCGAAUGGGGCAACCCAAUGUAUAGAGAUAUACAUUACCUAUAUAGGAGCGAACGAGGGGAAUUGAAACAUCUUAGUACCCUCAGGAAAAGAAAUCAAUAGAGAUUGCGUCAGUAGCGGCGAGCGAAAGCGCAAGAGGGCAAACCCAGUGCUUGCACUGGGGGUUGUAGGACUGCAAUGUGCAAGAGGUAAGUUUAGCAGAACAUUCUGGAAAGUAUAACCAUAGAGGGUGAUAGUCCCGUAUGCGAAAAACAAACCUUAGCUAGCAGUAUCCUGAGUAGGGCGGGACACGAGGAAUCCUGUCUGAAUCCGGGUCGACCACGAUCCAACCCUAAAUACUAAUACCAGAUCGAUAGUGCACAAGUACCGUGAGGGAAAGGUGAAAAGAACUGAGGUGAUCAGAGUGAAAUAGAACCUGAAACCAUUUGCUUACA
Molecule: ribosomal RNA, 530 nt
Filed under: Campylobacter jejuni
Lineage: Bacteria; Pseudomonadati; Campylobacterota; Epsilonproteobacteria; Campylobacterales; Campylobacteraceae
Description: partial 23S ribosomal RNA
Rfam family: Bacterial large subunit ribosomal RNA
Source: RNAcentral